UCGCUAAGUGGCCCAUGGAAAAAAAUAAUUUUUUUUUAGAUUUAUAAAAUUCUAUUAUAAUGUUUUCAACUUACUUUGAUUACUUUUCGUGUCGUAAUGUAAUGAACACAAUUUCAAGAAUUAACUUUACUUUUACUGGUCGCACAAUGAGUCUCCUGGUGGAAGAUGCUGAAUUUAUAAGUGGUUGAACUUGGCAAUUUUCAGGACAUGGUUGAACACAGAAGUUACCAGAGGAAUAGAUCCUAAAACACUAUUACUAAAACGGAAGAAUGUUUACCAGGACGUUAGUGAUUACCAGUGUACAAGGAUAGAAUGGACCACUUUGCAACCAGGAGCGCACAAGACCAGAAGAACGUUUGUUAUAUUCAGAUAAGUUUGUUACUUACUAAGAUAGAUCACUUUGCUAAGUAGGAUGGACCACUUUACCACCACCAGGAGCACACGACCAGGAGAACGUUAUGUUGAUAAGUAUCUUACUUGCUAAGAUAGAUCAUAAGAUAUUAGUUUUUUGCGAUCAUUUUCUAUAUUAUUUUGUUAUAUUAAGAUAUGUAUCUUACUUGCAUGC
Ctenocephalides felis (cat flea) is the source of this 565-nucleotide long non-coding RNA. RefSeq lists it as uncharacterized. The transcript is spliced from 2 exons. The record is from RefSeq and is a predicted model, not a curated record. Lineage: Eukaryota; Metazoa; Arthropoda; Insecta; Siphonaptera; Pulicidae.